AAUGGGCGCAAGCCUGAUCCAGCAAUGCCGCGUGUGUGAAGAAGGCCUGCGGGUUGUAAAGCACUUUCAGUGGGGAAGAACGGAUGCGGGCCAAUACCCCGGAUCACUGACGUUACCCACAGAAGAAGCACCGGCUAACUCCGUGCCAGCAGCCGCGGUAAUACGGAGGGUGCAAGCGUUAAUCGGAAUCACUGGGCGUAAAGCGCACGUAGGCGGCCCGUUAAGUCAGAUGUGAAACCCCGGGGCUCAACCUGGGAAUGGCAUUUGAUACUAGCGCGCUCGAGUCUGAUAGAGGGGGGUGGAAUUCCACGUGUAGCAGAGAAAUGCGUAGAGAUGUGGAGGAACACCAAUGGCGAAGGCAGCCCCCUGGGUCGAUACUGACGCUCACGCACGAAAGCGUGGGGAGCAAA
This 410-nucleotide ribosomal RNA is filed under the name uncultured bacterium. RNAcentral's name for it is "bacterial SSU rRNA". It matches the Rfam family "Bacterial small subunit ribosomal RNA", at positions 370 to 772 of the family's 1533-position model. The record is from RNAcentral.